CUCAGUUCGGAUUGGAGUCUGCAACCCGACUCCAUGAAGCUGGAUUCGCUAGUAAUCGCGCAUCAGCCACGGCGCGGUGAAUACGUUCCCGGGCCUUGUACACACCGCCCGUCAAGCCAUGGAAGCCGGGGGUGCCUGAAGUGCGCUGCCGCAAGGAGCGCCCUAGGGUAAAACCGGUGACUGGGGCUAAGUCGUAACAAGGUAGC
Molecule: ribosomal RNA, 206 nt
Filed under: uncultured bacterium
Lineage: Bacteria
Description: partial 16S ribosomal RNA
Rfam family: Bacterial small subunit ribosomal RNA
Source: RNAcentral